UUGACCUCGGAUCAGGUAGGACUACCCGCUGAACUUAAGCAUAUCAAUAAGCGGAGGAAAAGAAACCAACAGGGAUUGCCCCAGUAACGGCGAGUGAAGCGGCAACAGCUCAGAUUUGGAAUCUGGCCCCCAGGGCCCGAGUUGUAAUCUGGAGAGGAUGCUUCUGGCGCGGCGCCUUCCGAGUUCCCUGGAACGGGACGCCGGAGAGGGUGAGAGCCCCGUACGGUCGGACGCCUAGCCUUUGUGAAGCUCCUUCGACGAGUCGAGUAGUUUGGGAAUGCUGCUCAAAAUGGGAGGUAAAUUUCUUCUAAAGCUAAAUAUUGGCCAGAGACCGAUAGCGCACAAGUAGAGUGAUCGAAAGAUGAAAAGCACUUUGAAAAGAGGGUUAAAAAGUACGUGAAAUUGUUGAAAGGGAAG
This 417-nucleotide ribosomal RNA is filed under the name Leptographium cainii. RNAcentral's name for it is "eukaryotic LSU rRNA". It matches the Rfam family "Eukaryotic large subunit ribosomal RNA", at positions 1 to 419 of the family's 3401-position model. The record is from RNAcentral. Lineage: Eukaryota; Fungi; Ascomycota; Sordariomycetes; Ophiostomatales; Ophiostomataceae.